Coccinella septempunctata (seven-spotted ladybird) is the source of this 1148-nucleotide long non-coding RNA. RefSeq lists it as uncharacterized. NCBI's taxonomy places the organism in Eukaryota, Metazoa, Arthropoda, Insecta, Coleoptera, Coccinellidae. The transcript is spliced from 3 exons. The record is from RefSeq and is a predicted model, not a curated record.
GUUCGUCCUAUUUAAAAUGCAUCACAAGAAUUGCAUGAGAAUUGGUAUAUAGACACCACUACGAUCCACAGAUUCAACUUUAUCCUUAUAAUUCAAUAAUCUAUUGUUCAAAGUGUUGUUACAUAGUUUUGAAGGAUAUAUUUACAAAAGGUCUGAAAAUUUUGCCUAUUUUAUAAGAAAAAUUAUUGAUGAACCUAAAAGAUCUAGGUAUUUGGUUUAUUAAUCUGUGUAGUAUUGUCAACUGUAGGAACAUUCAAAUAUAAUCAAAUAUAAUUGAAGAGUCUUUAUAGGCUAAAUUUAGUUUUUUAUUCUUUUUUAUUUGUUUUUUUAGUAGUAGAUUCCUUUGUCUCUAGUUGUUCUGUAAAAAUAUAUUGCUGUCUUGAGUUAUCUUGUUAUUUUGUUUUUCAAUCAGAUGUCGCUUCAUUGUUUUAAAUUCAGGAAUGUUAUUAUGAAUUGUAUUUUUUGUCAAUCUUGUUGUUCUUAUUAUACUAUCUGCCUGGUUGCUCUGAACUUGAAGUUUUUUCUUUUUGAUUAUAUGACGCAAGAUUUGUUUUUUAUUACCUGACCAUUGUAGCUUGUAUGAUGAGACGAUGCAACCCCUUCAGAAGAAAAUAUUUCAGUUUAUUUUGAAUAUAUUAUCUAGAAUCCUUGAAUAAUUAAAUUCAAAAUCCGUUUUGAUUGAAACUUCCAUCAGUAAUCCGCGUGAUUAUUUAGAACAGAGAGAAACUGUCUUUCUGCAUUCGGUGUUGUUUUUCCAUCCACAAAAACAUCAUUAUUGAUUAAUGAGAAAGACAUAAAUAUUAUUCUUCUACGAAAAAUUUGGUGAAACAUGUGAUGAAACAUCAUUCAAGAAGGAGGGUAUGUAUUCUAUAUAUUUUAUUGUCCACCUUCUUUCUUUAUUUAUUGAACCCAUUAUUAACAGUCAUCAUUAAGUAACAGCAUCAGCUUUAGUGGAAAAAUAUUUUGGGAGAAACGGUAAGAGCAGUUUCUCAAUCUAUUCCAGAAGAAUGUCAACCUUCAAGACUGGAGGAUUCUGAAGAAGUACAGUGGGAAGAUAUUCCUGAAGUUAAUACUGGGUGAGUCUUUGACACGUACAAGUAUUUUAACAGUAGAUUCUUGAGGUCAAAAGAUACAAUUUUUUCCCUUGC